CCUACGGGGUGCAGCAGUGAGGAAUAUUGGUCAAUGGACGGAAGUCUGAACCAGCCAUGCCGCGUGCAGGAAGACGGCUCUAUGAGUUGUAAACUGCUUUUGUACAAGGGUAAACCUGAAUACGUGUAUUCAGCUGAAAGUACUGUACGAAUAAGGAUCGGCUAACUCCGUGCCAGCAGCCGCGGUAAUACGGAGGAUCCAAGCGUUAUCCGGAUUUAUUGGGUUUAAAGGGUGCGUAGGCGGAUUGAUAAGUUAGAGGGUAAAUGUCCGAGCUUAACUCGGGAACUGCCUCUAAUACUGUUGAUCGAGAGAGUAGAUGCGGUAGGCGGAAUGUAUGGUGUAGCGGUGAAAUGCUUAGAGAUCAUACAGAACACCGAUUGCGAAGGCAGCUUACCAAUCUAUAUCUGACGUUGAGGCACGAAAGCGUGGGGAGCAAACAGGAUUAGAUACCCUGGUAGUC
RNAcentral lists this ribosomal RNA (460 nucleotides) under uncultured bacterium. RNAcentral describes it as "partial 16S ribosomal RNA". It matches the Rfam family "Bacterial small subunit ribosomal RNA", at positions 338 to 795 of the family's 1533-position model. The record is from RNAcentral.